UUAGGUCUUCCGGCCCCGCACUCCACCAGAAGCAAUUGCGCUAUGUAGCCGUCUGUUGGAGUACACCCCCACUGCCCGCCUGACUCCCCUGGAGGCCUGUGCGCACUCUUUCUUCGAUGAACUACGGGACCCAAAUGUCAAGUUACCAAAUGGGCGAGAGAAACCUGCACUCUUCAAUUUCACCACUCAAGAACUGUCAAGUAACCCAUCUCUGGCUUCGAUCCUCAUCCCUGCUCAUGCCCGGAACCAAGCAGCUGCUUCAACCCCUACAAACGCUACAGCGGCCUCAGAUGUUAACGCAGGAGAACGAGUUCAGACCAAUAGUGUAGCUACAGCAUCAGCCUCCAACUCCACCUGAACCGGUACCAAGCAGCCAGCUGCACAGGAAAAAUCACCAGUAAUUUGAGUCUUGCUCAGCAACACUGGUCACAUUUGGAAAGAAAAUUAAAAAGAGGGAAAAAAAAAAAACCAACAAACCAACCAACCUGUUCAUUUUAGUGUUCAAUUUUUUAUUAUUAUUAUUGUUGUUCUUAUUUAACCUUGUAAAAUAUCUAUAAAUACAAACAGUUUCAUUGUA
This is a long non-coding RNA of Fulmarus glacialis (Northern fulmar), 577 nucleotides long. RefSeq lists it as uncharacterized. The transcript is spliced from 3 exons. The record is from RefSeq and is a predicted model, not a curated record. Lineage: Eukaryota; Metazoa; Chordata; Aves; Procellariiformes; Procellariidae.